Molecule: long non-coding RNA, 568 nt
Organism: Gorilla gorilla gorilla (western lowland gorilla)
Lineage: Eukaryota; Metazoa; Chordata; Mammalia; Primates; Hominidae
Exons: 3
Source: RefSeq, a predicted model, not a curated record
UCUCUUCCAGGGUGAAGGAUGGACUUUGGUGUGUUCUCUUUUGUACAUGCCUCAGUGAGAUGCACAAAGCACAACUUGGUCAGAUUCACAGAGGCUCUUGUCUCCUCUAACUCUUCCUGACUCAGUACUGCAUUUCCAAAUAAAGCCUCUCACAAUCUUUAAUCGGGCUGUAAAUUUUAAGAAAUCUGGACCAAGACAGUUUGCUCCAAGAGUAUCCCACAAAUGCAAAUCUUCAGAGUGAGAUUUUAUUAUUGGAUUGCUCACCUGUCUGUUGGUUCCUCUAAUCUGAUGGGACACUCCCGCAAUGAUGCUUCAGCUGUAUUUUAACCUCAAGAAACCCUAAGAUCCCUCACUCCUAUGCUGCUGUCAACGGGAGGCUAAGAAGCACAGAGAAAUAGGCCACACAAAGUCUACCUCUCUGAACACUCUGGUUUGUUGAGAUGACAGAUGGUUAAGUCUCUCUCUGACAUCAAGAGAUAGAGCCAAAGUUAUCAUGGAAUUGUUUCUUUUGGAAUGUCAAGUUUAUGUGCACCGUAUCACUCUUCUGAAAUGGACUCAAGAUUCAGGG